AUUGAACGCUGGCGGCAGGCCUAACACAUGCAAGUCGAGCGGAUGAAGGGAGCUUGCUCCUGGAUUCAGCGGCGGACGGGUGAGUAAUGCCUAUGAAUCUGCCUGAUAGUGGGGGAUAACGUCCGGAAACGGGCGCUAAUACUGCAUACGUCCUGAGGGAGAAAGUGGGGGAGCUUCGGACCUCUCGCUAUCAUAUGAGCCUAGGUCGGAUUAGCUAGUUGGUGGGGUAAAGGGCUACCAAGGCGACGAUCCGUAACUGGUCUGAGAGGAUGAUCAGUCACACUGGAACUGAGACACGGUCCAGACUCCUACGGGAGGCAGCAGUGGGGAAUAUUGGACAAUGGGCGAAAGCCUGAUCCAGCCAUGCCGCGUGUGUGAAGAAGGUCUUCGGAUUGUAAAGCACUUUAAGUUGGGAGGAAGGGCAGUAAGUUAAUACCUGGCUGUUUUGACGGUACCAACAGAAUAAGCACCGGCUAACUUCGUG
Molecule: ribosomal RNA, 484 nt
Filed under: uncultured bacterium
Lineage: Bacteria
Description: partial 16S ribosomal RNA
Rfam family: Bacterial small subunit ribosomal RNA
Source: RNAcentral